GUCAGGAAAAGCCUAAAGAUUAGACUGUAAGAAAAGAAAAUAGAAGCCAUGUUUCGAAGACCUGUAUUACAGCUAAUGAAAGCUGGAUUUUGAAAAUACUUGGCAGCAACUCUUAGGUACUUCGUCAGUUUGUAAGACAUGAGUCCGAAACAACUACCAGUUUGGUUCUUGAAAGAUCCCUGAAUCGUGUGCACUUACUUGGGCGAGUGGGUCAGGACCCUGUCUUGAGACAGGUGGAAGGAAAAAAUCCAGUCACAAUAUUUUCUCUAGCAACUAAUGAGAUGUGGCGAUCAGGGGAUAGUGAAGUUUACCAACUGGGUGAUGUCAGUCAAAAGACAACAUGGCACAGAAUAUCAGUAUUCCGGCCAGGCCUCAGAGACGUGGCAUAUCAAUAUGUGAAAAAGGGGUCUCGAAUUUAUUUGGAAGGGAAAAUAGACUAUGGUGAAUACAUGGAUAAAAAUAAUGUGAGGCGACAAGCAACAACAAUCAUAGCUG
Molecule: unclassified non-coding RNA, 495 nt
Filed under: Homo sapiens (human)
Lineage: Eukaryota; Metazoa; Chordata; Mammalia; Primates; Hominidae
Description: single stranded DNA binding protein 1 (ENSG00000262771.5)
Source: RNAcentral